RNAcentral lists this long non-coding RNA (238 nucleotides) under Bos indicus x Bos taurus (hybrid cattle). RNAcentral's name for it is "lncRNA (ENSBIXG00000008145.1)". Lineage: Eukaryota; Metazoa; Chordata; Mammalia; Artiodactyla; Bovidae. The record is from RNAcentral.
CAGGCUCAGCACCAUCAUAACCCAGCCCACACCUCGUGGCAGAGGAAUCCUCACUGAGCCACCAGCCUCUAACCUCUCCAUGCCAUCGUAUGACAUCAUAUGACACCUGUGUCAAGCCUCAGAAACUCUUUCAAGGAGCCCUGGCUAGGCAGUUAAGAAGAAGGACGACUUCCUGAACAUUGACACAGGAAAGACACCUGGCCUGAAUUCUCCCUGAGCCCAUGUAUCUGCCUGUGUC